This is a long non-coding RNA of Oreochromis aureus, 2441 nucleotides long. Lineage: Eukaryota; Metazoa; Chordata; Actinopteri; Cichliformes; Cichlidae. The record is from Ensembl.
CGGGAAAAGAGACUUUUACAGCCUCUCACACACCCGAGCUGCAGCCGGCUGGCACUUUAAAUCAUUUCAGACAGUUUAUUACGUCACAGUUUCCAGCUGUAUGCGUGGGUCCCAACAACCCGGAUAUACACACCGCGGCUCGUCUUUAAGAGACGUCAACAGGUCCGCGAAUUCUCCAGAUAUAUCAACAGAAACACAGCUUUUCUUGGGCCACGGCGGGUCCACAAAUCUUUGCUGACCACGGCGGGUCCACCAAUCUUCACUGACCACGGCGGGUCCACAAAUGCACAGUUUCCCAGCGUGCCUUGGCUUUGGUAGUGGAGGUGAAUGAGGGAGAAGGGUCAGUCCCAUUGCCCUGUCAGUACUCAGGAUUUAUACCUGAGGACAAUCCCACGGUGCUGUGGACUCGUGAUGAUCUGGAUCCAAAGUCUGUCCACAUACGACGAGAAGGAGGAGACGAUCUUAGAGGACAAAACCAGCUUUACAGCGGACGCACAUCAAUGAGGUCUGAUGCUCUGGACUCGUUAGACUUCAGCCUCACUCUGAGAAAACCAACAAAGACUGACAGCGGCAACUACACCUGCUCCAUCAGUGAUUGGAGACAAGAACGGAGACUGAGAAACAUACAGCUGGAGGUCAAAGACCAGCAGGUGGAGGUGGGGGUGGAGGAAGGCUCAGAGUCCGUCCUCCUGCCCUGCAAAACAAAACCUGACCUGCCUGAGGACACAAGAGUGGAGUGGACUCGCUCUGACCUCAUGAUGGUCCGUGUGUAUUCAAACAGAAGCGACCUCCUUAAAAAACAGGACAACCUUUACAGAGAUCGAACAAAGAUGAACAAAGACCUGCUGAGGACUGGAGACCUCAGUCUGACCCUGAAAUACCCCACAGACUGGGACACAGGAGGAUACAUCUGCACCAUCUACAGGGACGAAGACAUCCUGAGGCAGAAAGUCGUGCUGCAGGUCAAAGUUUACAAGGUGGAGGUGGAUUCAGGGGUGGAGUCUGUUCAGCUGAUCUGCAAAACCACAGUUUGUCUGCCUAAAGAUGCUAAAGUGGAGUGGAAGGACAAAAACAACAGGAAGGUCCACGUGUAUGAGAACGGCUCUGACCAGCCUGAAGAACAGGACGAUAAAUACAAGAACCGAACAAAGAUGAAGAGAAACUUACUGGAACCUGGAGACCUCAGUCUGACCCUGAAACACCCCACAGAUGAAGACAACUCCACCUACACCUGCACCGUCUACAGCAGGGAGGGAAACAUCCUGAUGGAGAAACAAGUGGAGCUGAAAGUCAGAGUCCCCCAGGUGGAGGUGGAUUCAGGGGUGGAGUCUGUCCAGCUGCCCUUCAACACCACACUUCACCUGCCUGAAGACGCUAAAGUGGAGUGGAAGGAGAACAGAUACAACAUGAAGGUCCACGUGUAUAAGAACGGCUCUGACCAGCCUGAGGAAAAGGACAUGAAAUACAAAAACCGAAUAAAGAUGAAUGAAGACCUGCUGAAAACUGGAGACCUCAGUCUGACCCUGAAAUACCCCACAGAUGAUGACAACAGGACCUACACCUGCACCGUCUACAGCAGGGAGGGAAACAUCCUGCUGAAGAAACAAGUGGAGCUGAAAGUCAGAGUCUGUCAGGUGGAGGUGGAGGAGGGGGCGGAGUCUGUCCAGCUGCCCUUCAAAACCACACAAAACCUGCCUGAAGAUGUUAGAGUGGAGUGGAAACGUCUUGAACCUGAACCAUCACUGAUGGUCCACGUGUAUAAGAACCGCUCUGACCAGCCUGAAGAACAGCACCAGGUUUACAGAGACCGAACGAAAAUGAAUAAAGACCUGCUGAAAACUGGAGACCUCAGUCUGACCCUGAAACACCCCACAGAGAGAGACAGUGGGAGAUACAGAUGUGCAGUUGACAGCAGGAACAUCUGGAUAAGAUACAAAUCAGUGCAGCUCAAAGUUAAAGGGAGAGUUCAGGUCCAGGAUCAAACAGGGGACAUCAGGAACAGAAGCAGCUCCAUUGAUCCGACUCCUCUGAUGGCUGAUCAAUUAGUUUGAUCUGUGUGUUCUUUGAUUAUUGAUCAGUGGUGUCAGAGUGGAGUCAGUGUGAUGUUGUUGUUGUGUGUUUGAGACUUUUAGUGUCCAUGAAGGUCUCUGCUGCCGUAGAUCCUCUGAACUGUGACAGAGGUCUCACUCUGGAGGAAACUCUCAGCACUUUCCAGCAGCUCCUCCAUCAUGGAGGACGUUCCCUCACUGUAACAGGUGGAGGAGAGAGGAGAGGAAGCACAGGUGGAUCCUCUGAGGAAGAGGAGUGUUCCUACAAACCACAUGAUCACAUGACCAGAGGACAAGCAUGUGUAGAAACACAUUAAAGUCAGCCUGUAAACACGUUUGUGUAAAUUCUAGUCGUGUUUUUCUGUUACAUUCAAAUAAAAGUAGAGAAAGCAG